Phrynosoma platyrhinos (Desert horned lizard) is the source of this 69-nucleotide non-coding RNA. Lineage: Eukaryota; Metazoa; Chordata; Lepidosauria; Squamata; Phrynosomatidae. The record is from the annotation of a GenBank genome assembly.
AGCAUGAUGUAGUGGUUUGAUUGUUGGAUUCUAACUCUGGAGACCAGGGUUCGAUUCCCAGCCAUGAAA